Long non-coding RNA from Perca fluviatilis (European perch), 533 nucleotides. RefSeq lists it as uncharacterized. The record is from RefSeq and is a predicted model, not a curated record. The transcript is spliced from 5 exons. Lineage: Eukaryota; Metazoa; Chordata; Actinopteri; Perciformes; Percidae.
GGAAGCAGCAGACAGUAGGGUUGCAGAAACUACCUACGCAGCAGCAAUCAGGCUCACUGGACUUACUUUUCAGAUCAGUUUAUGCCUUUGCAUCUUGCUGUUCCAGUUUCAAGAAGUUAAGGAAGAUAACUGGAGAUGUGAUAACGAUACCAGAAGACUGAGAAGAAACUGACCCUCAUUAGAAAGAUGAUGGAGACCACAUUUCCCCUACGCCGACAGACCAUAGUGAUGUCCUGCCCACCAGUGAACGACCUCAUGGACCUCUGGCCUGCUCUUAAAAUAGAGUCUGAGUUGUAUGCAGAGUUCCAGCGGAUUACAAAUCAGAACCUGCCCAACACGUGCUAUGCUGAGCUUGACCGCUAUCUUCCUCGACUGAUGACCUUAUUCAGACGGAAGGCAUCAAAAACUGGGAAGACAGCAGAUGCUCUGGCUGAAAUUUUAAAAAUCCAUGAUGAACAGGAAAUCCAUGACAUACACACCAAGUGCACUACUGUUCUCCACGUCCUUCCUGUGUAUCUGCGUGAGGACGUCUC